CUCAAAGACCAGCCACUCUGAGAAUCUCGGUUCCACUGGCCCUAUCUCAAAGAUUGGGUUUACAUGGAGAGGGGUUGGUCCCAUUGGUGUAAGCCUCCUUUGAAAUCCUUUCCCAUUCUGGUGUUCCCUCUUCAAUCUACAAGAGCAUUAUGUAAGGAUCCUCACGAGUUCAGAGUGCCAAUGAUUCCUGGAUGUGUCAAACCUGGAAACCGUACUCCUGCCGUGCCGUGAUGUGAAGAUAUUUAGCAUGUGAAUAGUCAACAAAACACCUCAUAACAAGGAAAGCUACAUGGUUGUUGCUACUAAUCUGCUUGACAAAAAAAGCAGGACGAUGUUAUGUUCUAACCAGGAAUUUGAGGAGAGUAGGCAUAAAUCCCUUCAAAGUACCAAAUAGCUUUGGUUGCACAAGGGAAAUGGUCAGUCAAGAACCCGCCGCCAUUCUCUCUAUCAAACGAACCAGUGAAGCCCCAUUCAUUUCCUGGAAGAGGACCCAAGUUGCAUAUGUCAACAGCAAGAAGAUCACCGGUCUUGGCUGCAACACCUUCCUCAUCCACAACUUUGAUCGGUCCACUCAGUAGAAAGGUCUAUGCUCUUAAUAUCGCCAGCAGAAUCAUCAUCUUUCACUGCACCUCCCGUCCAAUCAACCAUUUCCACCCUAAAGAACUC
This is a non-coding RNA of Camelina sativa (false flax), 666 nucleotides long. Lineage: Eukaryota; Viridiplantae; Streptophyta; Magnoliopsida; Brassicales; Brassicaceae. The record is from RefSeq and is a predicted model, not a curated record.